UACGGAGGAUGCGAGCGUUAUCCGGAUUUAUUGGGUUUAAAGGGUGCGUAGGCGGGUUAUCAAGUCAGCGGUAAAAUCGUGGAGCUCAACUCCAUCCAGCCGUUGAAACUGAUGAUCUUGAGUAGGCGAGAAGUAUGCGGAAUGCGUGGUGUAGCGGUGAAAUGCAUAGAUAUCACGCAGAACUCCGAUUGCGAAGGCAGCAUACCGGCGCCCGACUGACGCUGAAGCACGAAAGCGUGGGUAUCGAACAGG
This 252-nucleotide ribosomal RNA is filed under the name uncultured bacterium. Its description in RNAcentral is "partial 16S ribosomal RNA". It matches the Rfam family "Bacterial small subunit ribosomal RNA", at positions 524 to 776 of the family's 1533-position model. The record is from RNAcentral.